GUGGGGAAUAUUGGACAAUGGGGGGAACCCUGAUCCAGCCAUGUCGCGUGUGUGAAGAAGGCCUUUUGGUUGUAAAGCACUUUAAGCGAGGAGGAGGCUACCGAGAUUAAUACUCUUGGAUAGUGGACGUUACUCGCAGAAUAAGCACCGGCUAACUCUGUGCCAGCAGCCGCGGUAAUACAGAGGGUGCAAGCGUUAAUCGGAUUUACUGGGCGUAAAGCGCGCGUAGGUGGCCAAUUAAGUCAAAUGUGAAAUCCCCGAGCUUAACUUGGGAAUUGCAUUCGAUACUGGUUGGCUAGAGUAUGGGAGAGGAUGGUAGAAUUCCAGGUGUAGCGGUGAAAUGCGUAGAGAUCUGGAGGAAUACCGAUGGCGAAGGCAGCCAUCUGGCCUAAUACUGACACUGAGGUGCGAAAGCAUGGGGAGCAAACAGGAUUAGAUACCCUGGUAGUCC
This 451-nucleotide ribosomal RNA is filed under the name uncultured bacterium. Its description in RNAcentral is "partial 16S ribosomal RNA". It matches the Rfam family "Bacterial small subunit ribosomal RNA", at positions 354 to 796 of the family's 1533-position model. The record is from RNAcentral.